RNAcentral lists this ribosomal RNA (432 nucleotides) under uncultured bacterium. Its description in RNAcentral is "partial 16S ribosomal RNA". It matches the Rfam family "Bacterial small subunit ribosomal RNA", at positions 29 to 506 of the family's 1533-position model. The record is from RNAcentral.
AACGAACGCUGGCGGCAUGCCUAACACAUGCAAGUCGAACGAGACCUUCGGGUCUAGUGGCGCACGGGUGCGUAACGCGUGGGAACCUGCCCUUAGGUUCGGAAUAACUCCCCGAAAGGGGUGCUAAUACCGGAUAAUGUCUUCGGACCAAAGAUUUAUCGCCUUUGGAUGGGCCCGCGUUGGAUUAGCUAGUUGGUAGGGUAAAAGCCUACCAAGGCGACGAUCCAUAGCUGGUCUGAGAGGAUGAUCAGCCACACUGGGACUGAGACACGGCCCAGACCCCACGGGGAGGCAGCAGGGGGGAAUAUUGAAAAAUGGGGGAAAGCCUGACCCAGCAAUGCCGGGGGAGUGAUGAAGGCCUUAGGGUUGUAAAGCUCUUUUACCGGGGAUGAUAAUGACAGUACCGGGAAAAAAAGCCCCGGCUAACCCCGU